This 382-nucleotide ribosomal RNA is filed under the name uncultured bacterium. Its description in RNAcentral is "bacterial SSU rRNA". It matches the Rfam family "Bacterial small subunit ribosomal RNA", at positions 28 to 417 of the family's 1533-position model. The record is from RNAcentral.
GAUGAACGCUGGCGGCGUGCCUAACACAUGCAAGUCGAACGAACCUAAUCUUCGGAAAGGGUUAGUGGCGCACGGGUGAGUAACACGUAGGUGACCUGCCCCGAAGUGGGGGAUAACUUCUCGAAAGAGAAGCUAAUACCGCAUAUGCUCAGCCAUUCAGUUGGUUGAGUAAAGCUCCGGCGCUUCGGGAGGGGCCUGCGUCCGAUUAGCUAGUUGGUGGGGUAAUGGCCUACCAAGGCGAUGAUCGGUAGCUGGUCUGAGAGGACGAUCAGCCACACUGGCACUGACACACGGGCCAGACUCCUACGGGAGGCAGCAGUGAGGAAUAUUGGUCAAUGGGCGAAAGCCUGAACCAGCAACGCCGCGUGAGGGAUGAAGGCCU